GUAGCGGUGAAAUGCGUAGAUAUCAGGAGGAAUACCAACGGCGAAGGCAGCUACCUGGAUGAAUACUGACACUGAGGCACGAAAGCGUGGGUAGCAAAAGGGAUUAGAUACCCCUGUAGUCCACGCCCUAAACGGUGCACACUCGGUUUUAGCGGAUUUGACCCCGCUAGGGCCUGAGCUAACGCGUUAAGUGUGCCGCCUGAGGACUACGGCCGCAAGGCUAAAACUCAAAGGAAUUGACGGGGCCCCGCACAAGCGGUGGAGUAUGUGGCUUAAUUCGAGGCAACGCGAAGAACCUUACCAGGGUUUGACAUGCAGGAGACCGGGGGUGAAAGCUCCCUUCGGUAGCAAUACCGCUGCUGCACAGGUGCUGCAUGGCUGUCGUCAGCUCGUGUCGUGAGAUGUUGCGUUAAGUCGCGCAACGAGCGCAACCCCUGUCUUUAGUUACCAGCACGUAAUGGUGGGGACUCUAAAGAGACAAACCUCCUCUGGAGGUGGGAAGGUGGGGAUGACGUCAAGUUAGCAUGGCCCUUACACCCUGGGCUGCACACGUACUACAAUGCCCGGUACAGAGCGUUCCAAGACCGCGAGGUGGAGGCAAUCGCCAAAAGCCGGGCCCAGUUCAGAUUGGAGUCUGCAACUCGACUCCAUGAAGCCGGAAUCGCUAGUAAUGGCAUAUCAGCAACGGUGCCGUGAAUACGUUCCCGGGGCUUGUACACACCGCCCGUCACAUCAUGAAAGCCGGUUUUGCCCGAAGUAUGUGAGC
RNAcentral lists this ribosomal RNA (766 nucleotides) under uncultured Verrucomicrobiae bacterium. RNAcentral's name for it is "bacterial SSU rRNA". It matches the Rfam family "Bacterial small subunit ribosomal RNA", at positions 675 to 1435 of the family's 1533-position model. Lineage: Bacteria; Pseudomonadati; Verrucomicrobiota; Verrucomicrobiia. The record is from RNAcentral.